This 254-nucleotide ribosomal RNA is filed under the name uncultured bacterium. RNAcentral's name for it is "partial 16S ribosomal RNA". It matches the Rfam family "Bacterial small subunit ribosomal RNA", at positions 524 to 776 of the family's 1533-position model. The record is from RNAcentral.
CACGUAAGCACCAAGCGUUGUCCGGAUUUAUUGGGCGUAAAGAGCUCGUAGGCGGUUCAGUAAGUCAGGUGUGAAAUCUUUGGGCUUAACCCAAAGCGUGCACUUGAUACUGCUGUGACUUGAGUUCGGUAGGGGAGUGGGGAAUUCCUAGUGUAGCGGUGAAAUGCGCAGAUAUUAGGAGGAACACCGGUGGCGAAGGCGCCACUCUGGGCCGAAACUGACGCUGAGGAGCGAAAGCGUGGGUAGCAAACAGG